GAUGAACGCUGGCGGCGUGCCUAAUACAUGCAAGUCGAGCGAACGGACGAGAAGCUUGCUUCUCUGAUGUUAGCGGCGGACGGGUGAGUAACACGUGGAUAACCUACCUAUAAGACUGGGAUAACUUCGGGAAACCGGAGCUAAUACCGGAUAAUAUUUUGAACCGCAUGGUUCAAAAGUGAAAGACGGUCUUGCUGUCACUUAUAGAUGGAUCCGCGCUGCAUUAGCUAGUUGGUAAGGUAACGGCUUACCAAGGCAACGAUGCAUAGCCGACCUGAGAGGGUGAUCGGCCACACUGGAACUGAGACACGGUCCAGACUCCUACGGGAGGCAGCAGUAGGGAAUCUUCCGCAAUGGGCGAAAGCCUGACGGAGCAACGCCGCGUGAGUGAUGAAGGUCUUCGGAUCGUAAAACUCUGUUAUUAGGGAAGAACAUAUGUGUAAGUAACUGUGCACAUCUUGACGGUACCUAAUCAGAAAGCCACGGCUAACUACGUGCCAGCAGCCGCGGUAAUACGUAGGUGGCAAGCGUUAUCCGGAAUUAUUGGGCGUAAAGCGCGCGUAGGCGGUUUUUUAAGUCUGAUGUGAAAGCCCACGGCUCAACCGUGGAGGGUCAUUGGAAACUGGAAAACUUGAGUGCAGAAGAGGAAAGUGGAAUUCCAUGUGUAGCGGUGAAAUGCGCAGAGAUAUGGAGGAACACCAGUGGCGAAGGCGACUUUCUGGUCUGUAACUGACGCUGAUGUGCGAAAGCGUGGGGAUCAAACAGGAUUAGAUACCCUGGUAGUCCACGCCGUAAACGAUGAGUGCUAAGUGUUAGGGGGUUUCCGCCCCUUAGUGCUGCAGCUAACACAUUAAGCACUCCGCCUGGGGAGUACGACCGCAAGGUUGAAACUCAAAGGAAUUGACGGGGACCCGCACAAGCGGUGGAGCAUGUGGUUUAAUUCGAAGCAACGCGAAGAACCUUACCAAAUCUUGACAUCCUUUGACAACUCUAGAGAUAGAGCCUUCCCCUUCGGGGGACAAAGUGACAGGUGGUGCAUGGUUGUCGUCAGCUCGUGUCGUGAGAUGUUGGGUUAAGUCCCGCAACGAGCGCAACCCUUAAGCUUAGUUGCCAUCAUUAAGUUGGGCACUCUAAGUUGACUGCCGGUGACAAACCGGAGGAAGGUGGGGAUGACGUCAAAUCAUCAUGCCCCUUAUGAUUUGGGCUACACACGUGCUACAAUGGACAAUACAAAGGGCAGCGAAACCGCGAGGUCAAGCAAAUCCCAUAAAGUUGUUCUCAGUUCGGAUUGUAGUCUGCAACUCGACUACAUGAAGCUGGAAUCGCUAGUAAUCGUAGAUCAGCAUGCUACGGUGAAUACGUUCCCGGGUCU
RNAcentral lists this ribosomal RNA (1372 nucleotides) under uncultured bacterium. RNAcentral's name for it is "bacterial SSU rRNA". It matches the Rfam family "Bacterial small subunit ribosomal RNA", at positions 28 to 1381 of the family's 1533-position model. The record is from RNAcentral.